Molecule: ribosomal RNA, 636 nt
Filed under: Acarospora similis
Lineage: Eukaryota; Fungi; Ascomycota; Lecanoromycetes; Acarosporales; Acarosporaceae
Description: SSU rRNA
Rfam family: Bacterial small subunit ribosomal RNA
Source: RNAcentral
UGUAUUAUUAGUUAAUGCAAGAUCGACUACGUCGACUAAAGUUCUAGGUAGAAUAAUGAUGAUGACAAUUUUUUACCUAUAUGUCUUGACCAAGUCUCGUGCCAGCAGUCGCGGUAAUACGUGGAAGACUAGUGUUAUUCAUCUUUAUUAGGUUUAAAGGGUACCUAGACGGUAUUUCUAGCCCAAAAUAGGGUACGGAUUUACUAGAGUUUUAUGUGAGGAGGGGAGUACUCGUGGAGUAGAGAUGAAAUUUUGUUAUACUAUGAGGUAACUGGUAGCGGCGAAAGCAACCUUCUAUGUAUAAACUGACGUUGAGGGACGAAGGCUUGGGUAGCAAAUAGGAUUAGAUACCCUAGUAGUCCAAGCAGACAAUUCUGAAUGCCAUAGAUUAGAUUAUUUUUGAUCUAUAAAUGAAAGUGUAAGCAUUCCACCUUAGGAGUAAUGUGGCAACACAGGAACUGAAAUCAUUAGACCGUUUCUGAAACCAGUAGUGAAGUAUGUUAUUUAAAUUGAUGGUCCACAAAAAACCUUACCACAACUUGAAUAUUUUUAAUUAAUACAAGCGUUGCACGGCUGUCUUCAGUUAAUGUCGUGAGAUUUUGGUUAACUCCAUUAAUUAACGUAAACCCUUACUUU